GAGCCAUGUGGUUUAAUUCGAUGCAACGCGAAGAACCUUACCUAGCCUUGACAUGUACGGAAGUCCGAUGAAAGUUGGAUGUGCCUUCGGGAACCGUAACACAGGUGCUGCAUGGCUGUCGUCAGCUCGUGUCGUGAGAUGUUGGGUUAAGUCCCGCAACGAGCGCAACCCUUGUCAUUAGUUGCUACCAUUUAGUUGAGCACUCUAAUGAGACUGCCGGUGACAAACCGGAGGAAGGUGGGGAUGACGUCAAGUCCUCAUGGCCCUUAUGGCUAGGGCUUCACACGUCAUACAAUGGUCGGUACAGAGGGUAGCCAAGCCGCGAGGUGGAGCCAAUCUCUUAAAGCCGAUCGUAGUCCGGAUCGCACUCUGCAACUCGAGUGCGNGAAGUNGGAAUCGC
RNAcentral lists this ribosomal RNA (400 nucleotides) under Vitreoscilla sp. AZTITEMP285. RNAcentral's name for it is "bacterial SSU rRNA". It matches the Rfam family "Bacterial small subunit ribosomal RNA", at positions 934 to 1335 of the family's 1533-position model. Lineage: Bacteria; Pseudomonadati; Pseudomonadota; Betaproteobacteria; Neisseriales; Neisseriaceae. The record is from RNAcentral.